UGAUGUGUUUUUCAUGUCUGUACUCCGAAAAAUGUGGCCACAACAGCGAGUUAAAAAAGUCUGAGCCUGAGUGACGAUAAGGAUUUUCUUGGAGAAAAAAUACAUUAGGGCCAAUGGGGAGAGAUUUCCGCCUAUUUGGACAGUUGGUCACCUGCUGGCCAAGGGGUAGGAUUUAAUGAUUUGAAACCUCUUUUGUGAGAAGCAGGACACAUAUACCUCCAUUUUGAUGUAUUUUUUAUGGCUGUGGAGUGAGAUUUGUGGGCGUGGGAGCGAUAUAUUCAAGCGAGGUUCUGUCGAUCAGAGACGAGGUCUGCACUCUAGCUUUUCAAAUCAUCACUCUAGCCUCUCCAAUACUGCCCCAUUAUAAAGCCUGAAAUUUGCUGAAAACCACAAGUUGCAUAAAGCUAAACUGUGGAAAAACUGUAAAAGAUAGCACAAAGAGGUUAAUACAACAUCAAUAGUCGACAAGACAAUGAACAUUUUAAAGCAAAAAUGAGGUCUCUAGGUGAAAGUAUGGUGAAGUUAUAAGGCUUAGAAGGUGGACGAAUAACAGGAAGAAGUGGAAGAUUUCCCCAUUCAUUUCUAUGGGAAAAAAAGUUUGGCACAAAAAGUGAAAAAUAAUAAAAAGUACAAAGGAUAGAAAGGAAAAAAAUACAAGCACACAUGUCCUGAUGGAGUGGAAUAGUUUAAAGUUUGAACGGUUGAAAUCGGACAAAUUUUGAAGGAGGAGAAGCGGUCCAAAGAAACGUAUGGGGAGAGUGUUAAGUAUAAUACUAGAAAAAUUGCAUUUCCUUGCAGAAAAUGCGUGGAAAUGCUGAGUGCUGAAAGCUGAAAAAGCAAUGCUAAACUGCUAAUAAAACAUGGAGAAAGGUAUAAAUGUUAAAGCUGUUGAAGGGGUGAAAAAGAAAUAUAAGUUGGAUAAUAGUUUAAUUGGUUGAAGGACAAAUAGUAUGAAUAUGCUCUAUAAAAGGAAAUUUUAUUCAUGCUGAAAGAGGCUAGAAAAAUGUCGAAAAUUGCACAAAGUUUGAAUGAAGAAGGAAACUGCCUUUAAAGGCAGGAAGGUGAGAAGUGGCAUAAGUUUAAGUUGUAGUACUAGAAGAAGUAUGAUAAGAAGUCAAGUCGUGAUACUAGUAGUCAUGUCAGCAGUAGAAGUAGAUUGAGAAUAAAAGAAGUAUAAGUCAAAGUAGUAAAGAAAGUAGAAAUAGUAGCAAUAGCAGCAGUAGAGAAAGUAGAAAUAGGAGCAAUAGCAGUUGAAGUAGAGGGGAAAGUUCUAGUUUAAUUGACAUAAGUAGUUGUAGUACUAGAGGUAGGAUUUUGUUUGAAGGACGGAUUAAUGCAUAAAUAUUAAAAAUAAUAUAAAACAGGGAAAAUUUUAUUAAUUAAAAAUCCUCAAGUAUCAGAAAGUUUUUAAGUAUUAGAAAGGUUUGAAUCAGUUUGAAUGAGUUUAAAUUAGUUUGAAAAAUUAAAUGAUAAAUCAUCACUGAGUGACUUUAAAAUGAGAAAAAUUUAAAUGAAUAUAAAUCCUAAAUACACCCCAUAAUGUCCUCAAUGAGCUUAAAUUUUAAAGCCCUGAAUGGUUUCUGUAGGUCAAAGGUCAUGUGAGGAGAUAGGGGCUGAAGGUUUUUCAAGCGCUCUAGGAAAGGGUUUUAAGUGUCAUCCCCAGUGCUAUGUGUACUGAGCCUGGCUUCAUGUGUCUCAUAUGGCCAUUAGAAGCAGCUUUCCAGUCAGCUGUGUGUCUCCAGGUGCACAAAUUGGUUGCCAUGGGGACCUUGGAUGCAUAACUAUAGCAGGAGAAAGAAGGCUUGAAGCUAAGGAAACAGGACUCCAAGUAGGCCCUGACGCUCACCCUCUGUAUAUAUUCAUAAGGAGCUUGUGAGAACACAAGACUCUGCUGAACACAUUAAUACAAUUUAUUAUCACAAUCCUCAAAACACCCCAUAAUAUCUUCAAUGAGCUGAAUUUUUCAAGCCCAGAAUGGUUUCUGUAGCUCAAAGUUUGUGGGUGGAGAUAGGUGGUGAAGCAGACACAUAUUAUCUGUGUGUACAAGCAGGUGAACUGCAAGGUAGACCUGACAAUGCAACAAGUACAAGAAUGUGUGCGUGUGUGUGUGUGUUUCUCAUUAAUGACUGCAUCCCUAACAGCUGUGAGAUCAAAGGCAAAUCACUGACCUACUGUUUGAAUGAGAAGCAGCUGAACAGCAGAGGAUUUGAAGCCUGUGAACUUCUUCACAUAGCGUGAUUUCCUUAAGUCCCAGAAUGAAAAUAAGAACAUCGUACGAAUCCUCCGUCCUUCAUGAACACAAUGAUGUGUUUUUCAUGUCUGCACUCCGAAAAAUGUGGCCACAACAGCGAGUUAAAAAAGUCUGAGCCUGAGCGAUGAUCCGGAUUUUCUUGGAGAAAAAUAACAUUACCGUCAAUGGGAGAGAUUUCCGCCUUCUUUGGACAGUUGGUCACCUGCUGGCCAAGGGGUACGAUUUAAUGAUUUGAAACCUCUUUUGUGAGAAGCAGGACACAUAUACCUCCAUUUUGAUGUAUUAUUUGUGUCAGUGGAGUGAGAUUUGUGGGCGUGGGAGCGAUAUAUUCGAGCGAGGUUCUGUCGAUCAGAGACGAGGUCUGCACUCUAGCUGAUGACAUCAUCACUCUAAACUCUCCAAUACACACCCAUUAUAAAGCUUGAAAUUUGCUGAAAACCACAAGUUGCUUAAAGCUAAAUUGUGGAAAAACUGUAAGAGAUGUCAAAAAACUGAGUACAACUGUAAUAGUCGACAAGUGAAUGAACAUUUUAAAGCAAAAAUGAGGUCUCUAGGUGAAAGUAUGCUGAAGUUAUAAGGUCUAGAAGGUGGAAGAAAAAAAGGAAGAAUUGGAAGAUUUCCCCAUUGACUUCAAUGUUAAAAUUUUUUGCACAAAAAGUAAAAAAAAACAAAAAGUAUAAAUGUUAGAAAAGUGAAAAGUAAUAGCAAACGUGUCCUGAAGGAGUGGAAUAGUUUAAAGUUUGAACGGUUGAAAUCGCACAAACUGGGAAGGAGUUGAAAGCGGACGAAAAACGGCGGAAGAAUAAUAAUAAUAACUAGAAAAAUUGCAUUUCCUUGCAGAAAAUGCGUGGAAAUGCUGAGUGCUGAAAGCUGAAAAAGCAAUGCUAAACUGCUAAUAAAACAUGGAGAAAGGUAUAAAUGUUAAAGCUGUUGAAGGGGUGAACAGAAAUAUAAGUUGGAUAAUUGAUUAAUUGGUUGAAGGACAAAUAGUAUGAAUAUGCUCUAUAAAAGGAAAUUUUAUUCAUGCUGAAAGAGGCUAGAAAAAUGUCUAAAAUUGCACAAAGUUUGAAUGAAGAAGGAAAUUGCCUUAAAAGGCAGGAAGGUGAGAAGUGGCAUAAGUUUAAUUUUUUAAGUAUUAGAAAGGUUUGAAUCAGUUUGAAUCAGUUCAAAUUAGUUUGAAAAAUUAAAUGAUAAAUCAUCACUGAGUGACUUUAAAAUGUGAAAAAUCUAAAUGAAUAUAAAUCCUAAAUACACCCCAUAAUGUCCUCAAUGAGCUUAAAUUUUAAAGCCCUGAAUGGUUUCUGUAGGUCAAAGGUCAUGUGAGGAGAUAGGGGCUGAAGUUUUUUCAAGCGCUCUAGGAAAGGGUUUUAAGUGUCAUCCCCAGUGCUAUGUGUACUGAGCCUGGCUUCAUGUGUCUCAUAUGGCCAUUAGAAGCAGCUUUCCAGUCAGCUGUGUGUCUCCAGGUGCACUAAUUGGUUGCCAUGGGGACCUUGGAUGCAUAACUAUAGCAGGAGAAAGAAGGCUUGAAGCUAAGGAAACAGGACUCCAAGUAGGCCCUGACACUCAUCCUCUGUAUCUAUUCCUGAUAAGGAGCUUGUGAGAACACAAGACUCUGCUGAACACAUUAAUACAAUUUAUUAUCACAAUCCUCAAAACACCCCAUAAUAUCUUCAAUGAGCUGAAUUUUAGAAGCCCAGAAUGGUUUCUGUAGCUCAAAGUUUGUGGGUGGAGAUAGGUGGCGAAGCAGACACAUAUUAACUGUGUGUACAAGCAGUCGAACUGCAAGGUAGACCUCAUAAAGCAACAAGUACAAGAAUGUGUGUGUGUGUGUGUGUGUGUGUGUCUCGUUAAUGACUGCAUCCUAAACAGCUGUGAGAUCAAAGGCAAAUCACUGACCUACUGUUUGAAUGAGAAGCAGCUGAACUGCAGAGGAUUUAGAGGCUCUAAACUUCUUCACAUAGCGUGAUUUCCUUAAGUCACAGAAUGAAAAUAAGAACAUCGUACGAAUCCUCCGCCCUUCAUGAACACAAUGAUGUCUUUUUCAUGUCUGUACUUCGAAAAAUGAGGCCACAACAGCGAGUUAAAAAAGUCUGAGCCUGAGCGAUGAUCCGGAUUUUCUUGGAGAAAAAUAACAUUAUGGUCAAUGGGAGAGAUUUCCGCCUUUUUUGGACAGUUGGUCACCUGCUGGCCAAGGGGUAGGAUUUAAUGAUUUGAAACCUCUUUUGUGAGAAGCAGGACACAUAUACCUCCAUUUUGAUGUAUUAUUUGUGUCAGUGGAGUGAGAUUUGUGGGCGUGGGAGCGAUAUAUUCGAGCGAGGUUCUGUCGAUCAGAGACGAGGUCUGCACUCUAGCUGAUGACAUCAUCACUCUAAACUCUCCAAUACACACCCAUUAUAAAGCUUGAAAUUUGCUGAAAACCACAAGUUGCUUAAAGCUAAAUUGUGGAAAAACUGUAAAAGAUAUCAAAAAACUGAGUACAACUAUAAUAGUCGACAAGUGAAUGAACAUUUUAAAGCAAAAAUGAGGUCUCUAGGUGAAAGUAUGCUGAAGUUAUAAGGUCUAGAAGGUGGAAGAAUAAAAGGAAGAAUUGGAAGAUUUCCCCAUUGACUUCAAUGUUAAAAUUUUUGCACAAAAAGUUAAAAAAAACAAAAAGUAUAAAUGUUAGAAAAGUGAAAAGUAAUAGCAAACGUGUCCUGAAGGAGUGGAAUAGUUUAAAGUUUGAACGGUUGAAAUCGCACAAACUGGGAAGGAGUUGAAAGCGGACGAAAAACGGCGGAAGAAUAAUAAUAAUAAUAAUAAUAAUAAUAAUAAAGAAACGGGAGAAUAACAAUAAGUGGAAAUGCCUAUCAGCAUUUCCACUUAACUAGAAAAAUUGCAUUUCCUUGCAGAAAAUGCGUGGAAAUGCUGAGUGCUGAAAGCUGAAAAAGCAAUGCUAAACUGCUAAUAAAACAUGGAGAAAUGUAUAAAUGUUAAAGCUGUUGAAGGGGUGUGAAAGAAAUGUAAGUUGGAUAAUUGAUUAAUUGGUUGAAGGACAAAUAGUAUGAAUAUGCUCUAUAAAAAGAAAUUUUAUUCAUACUGAAAGAGGCUAGAAAAAUGUCUAAAAUUGCACAAAGUUUGAAUGAAGAAGGAAAUUGCCUUAAAAGGCAGGAAGGUGGGAAGUGGCAUAAGUUUAAUUUUUUAAGUAUUAGAAAGGUUUGAAUCAGUUUGAAUCAGUUCAAAUUAGUUUGAAAAAUUAAAUGAUAAAUCAUCACUGAGUGACUUUAAAAUGUGAAAAAUCUAAAUGUAUAUAAAUCCUAAAUACACCCCAUAAUGUCCUCAAUGAGCUCAAAUUUUAAAGCCCUGAAUGGUUUCUGUAGGUCAAAGGUCAUGUGAGGAGAUAGGGGCUGAAGUUUUUUCAAGCGCUCUAGGAAAGGGUUUUAAGUGUCAUCCCCAGUGCUAUGUGUGCUGAGCCUGGCUUCAUGUGUCUCAUAUGGCCAUUAGAAGCAGCUUUCCAGUCAGCUGUGUGUCUCCAGGUGCACUAAUUGGUUGCCAUGGGGACCUUGGAUGCAUAACUAUAGCAGGAGAAAGAAGGCUUGAAGCUAAGGAAACAGGACUCCAAGUAGGCCCUGACGCUCAUCCUCUGUAUCUAUUCCUGAUAAGGAGCUUGUGAGAACACAAGACUCUGCUAAACACAUUAAUACAAUUUAUUAUCACAAUCCUCAAAACACCCCAUAAUAUCUUCAAUGAGCUGAAUUUUAGAAGCCCAGAAUGGUUUCUGUAGCUCAAAGUUUGUGGGUGGAGAUAGGUGGCGAAGCAGACACAUAUUAACUGUGUGUACAAGCAGCUGAACUGCAAGGUAGACCUCAUAAAGCAACAAGUACAAGAAUGUGUGUGUGUGUGUGUGUGUGUGUGUCUCGUUAAUGACUGCAUCCUAAACAGCUGUGAGAUCAAAGGCAAAUCACUGACCUACUGUUUGAAUGAGAAGCAGCUGAACUGCAGAGGAUUUAGAGGCUCUAAACUUCUUCACAUAGCGUGUUUUCCUUAAGUCACAGAAUGAAAAUAAGAACAUCGUACGAAUCCUCCGCCCUUCAUGAACACAAUGAUGUGUUUUUCAUGUCUGUACUCCGAAAAAUGAGGCCACAACAGCGAGUUAAAAAAGUCUGAGCCUGAGCGAUGAUCCGGAUUUUCUUGGAGAAAAAUAACAUUACGGUCAAUGGGAGAGAUUUCCGCCUUCUUUGGACAGUUGGUCACCUGCUGGCCAAGGGGUACGAUUUAAUGAUUUGAAACCUCUUUUGUGAGAAGCAGGACACAUAUACCUCCAUUUUGAUGUAUUAUUUGUGUCAGUGGAGUGAGAUUUGUGGGCGUGGGAGCGAUAUAUUCGAGCGAGGUUCUGUCGAUCAGAGACGAGGUCUGCACUCUAGCUGAUGACAUCAUCACUCUAAACUCUCCAAUACACACCCAUUAUAAAGCUUGAAAUUUGCUGAAAACCACAAGUUGCUUAAAGCUAAAUUGUGGAAAAACUGUAAGAGAUAUCAAAAAACUGAGUACAACUAUAAUAGUCGACAAGUGAAUGAACAUUUUAAAGCAAAAAUGAGGUCUCUAGGUGAAAGUAUGCUGAAGUUAUAAGGUCUAGAAGGUGGAAGAAUAAAAGGAAGAAUUGGAAGAUUUCCCCAUUGACUUCAAUGUUAAAAUUUUUGCACAAAAAGUUAAAAAAAACAAAAAGUAUAAAUGUUAGAAAAGUGAAAAGUAAUAGCAAACGUGUCCUGAAGGAGUGGAAUAGUUUAAAGUUUGAACGGUUGAAAUCGGACAAACUGGGAAGGAGUUGAAAGCGGACGAAAAACGGCGGAAGAAUAAUAAUAAUAAUAAUAAAGAAACGGGAGAAUAACAAUAAGUGGAAAUGCCUAUCAGCAUUUCCACUUAACUAGAAAAAUUGCAUUUCCUUGCAGAAAAUGCGUGGAAAUGCUGAGUGCUGAAAGCUGAAAAAGCAAUGCUAAACUGCUAAUAAAACAUGGAGAAAGGUAUAAAUGUUAAAGCUGUUGAAGGGGUGUGAAAGAAAUGUAAGUUGGAUAAUUGAUUAAUUGGUUGAAGGACAAAUAGUAUGAAUAUGCUCUAUAAAAAGAAAUUUUAUUCAUGCUGGAAGAGGCUAGAAAAAUGUCUAAAAUUGCACAAAGUUUGAAUGAAGAAGGAAAUUGCCUUAAAAGGCAGGAAGGUGGGAAGUGGCAUAAGUUUAAUUUUUUAACUAUUAGAAAGGUUUGAAUCAGUUUGAAUCAGUUCAAAUUAGUUUGAAAAAUUAAAUGAUAAAUCAUCACUGAGUGACUUUAAAAUGUGAAAAAUCUAAAUGUAUAUAAAUCCUAAAUACACACCAUAAUGUCCUCAAUGAGCUCAAAUUUUAAAGCCCUGAAUGGUUUCUGUAGGUCAAAGGUCAUGUGAGGAGAUAGGGGCUGAAGUUUUUUCAAGCGCUCUAGUAAAGGGUUUUAAGUGUCAUCCCCAGUGCUAUGUGUGCUGAGCCUGGCUUCAUGUGUCUCAUAUGGCCAUUAGAAGCAGCUUUCCAGUCAGCUGUGUGUCUCCAGGUGCACUAAUUGGUUGCCAUGGGGACCUUGGAUGCAUAACUAUAGCAGGAGAAAGAAGGCUUGAAGCUAAGGAAACAGGACUCCAAGUAGGCCCUGACGCUCAUCCUCUGUAUCUAUUCCUGAUAAGGAGCUUGUGAGAACACAAGACUCUGCUAAACACAUUAAUACAAUUUAUUAUCACAAUCCUCAAAACACCCCAUAAUAUCUUCAAUGAGCUGAAUUUUAGAAGCCCAGAAUGGUUUCUGUAGCUCAAAGUUUGUGGGUGGAGAUAGGUGGCGAAGCAGACACAUAUUAACUGUGUGUACAAGCAGCUGAACUGCAAGGUAGACCUCAUAAAGCAACAAGUACAAGAAUGUGUGUGUGUGUGUGUGUGUGUGUGUGUCUCGUUAAUGACUGCAUCCUAAACAGCUGUGAGAUCAAAGGCAAAUCACUGACCUACUGUUUGAAUGAGAAGCAGCUGAACUGCAGAGGAUUUAGAGGCUCUAAACUUCUUCACAUAGCGUGAUUUCCUUAAGUCCCAGAAUGAAAAUAAGAACAUCGUACGAAUCCUCCGCCCUUCAUGAACACAAUGAUGUGUUUUUCAUGUCUGUACUCCGAAAAAUGUGGCCACAACAGCGAGUUAAAAAAGUCUGAGCCUGAGCGAUGAUCCGGAUUUUCUUGGAGACAAAUUACAUUACGGUCAAUGGGAGAGAUUUCUGCCUUUUUUGGACAGUUGGUCACCUGCUGGCCAAGGGGUACGAUUUAAUUAUUUGAAACCUCUUUUGUGAGAAGCAGGACACAUAUACCUCCAUUUUGAUGUAUUAUUUGUGUCAGUGGAGUGAGAUUUGUGGGCGUGGGAGCGAUAUAUUCGAGCGAGGUUCUGUCGAUCAGAGACGAGGUCUGCACUCUAGCUGAUGACAUCAUCACUCUAAACUCUCCAAUACACACCCAUUAUAAAGCUUGAAAUUUGCUGAAAACCACAAGUUGCUUAAAGCUAAAUUGUGGAAAAACUGUAAGAGAUAUAAAAAAACUGAGUACAACUUUAAUAGUCGACAAGUGAAUGAACAUUUUAAAGCAAAAAUGAGGUCUCUAGGUGAAAGUAUGCUGAAGUUAUAAGGUCUAGAAGGUGGAAGAAUAAAAGGAAGAAUUGGAAGAUUUCCCCAUUGACUUCAAUGUUAAAAUUUUUGCACAAAAAGUUAAAAAAAACAAAAAGUAUAAAUGUUAGAAAAGUGAAAAGUAAUAGCAAACGUGUCCUGAAGGAGUGGAAUAGUUUAAAGUUUGAACGGUUGAAAUCGCACAAACUGGGAAGGAGUUGAAAGCGGACGAAAAACGGCGGAAGAAUAAUAAUAAUAAUAAUAAUAACUAGAAAAAUUGCAUUUCCUUGCAGAAAAUGCGUGGAAAUGCUGAGUGCUGAAAGCUGAAAAAGCAAUGCUAAACUGCUAAUAAAACAUGGAGAAAGGUAUAAAUGUUAAAGCUGUUGAAGGGGUGUGAAAGAAAUGUAAGUUGGAUAAUUGAUUAAUUGGUUGAAGGACAAAUAGUAUGAAUAUGCUCUAUAAAAAGAAAUUUUAUUCAUGCUGAAAGAGGCUAGAAAAAUGUCUAAAAUUGCACAAAGUUUGAAUGAAGAAGGAAAUUGCCUUAAAAGGCAGGAAGGUGGGAAGUGGCAUAAGUUUAAUUUUUUAAGUAUUAGAAAGGUUUGAAUCAGUUUGAAUCAGUUCAAAUUAGUUUGAAAAAUUAAAUGAUAAAUCAUCACUGAGUGACUUUAAAAUGUGAAAAAUUUAAAUGAAUAUAAAUCCUAAAUACACCCCAUAAUGUCCUCAAUGAGCUUAAAUUUUAAAGCCCUGAAUGGUUUCUGUAGGUCAAAGGUCAUGUGAGGAGAUAGGGGCUGAAGUUUUUUCAAGCGCUCUAGGAAAGGGUUUUAAGUGUCAUCCCCAGUGCUAUGUGUACUGAGCCUGGCUUCAUGUGUCUCAUAUGGCCAUUAGAAGCAGCUUUCCAGUCAGCUGUGUGUCUCCAGGUGCACUAAUUGGUUGCCAUGGGGACCUUGGAUGCAUAACUAUAGCAGGAGAAAGAAGGCUUGAAGCUAAGGAAACAGGACUCCAAGUAGGCCCUGACGCUCAUCCUCUGUAUCUAUUCCUGAUAAGGAGCUUGUGAGAACACAAGACUCUGCUAAACACAUUAAUACAAUUUAUUAUCACAAUCCUCAAAACACCCCAUAAUAUCUUCAAUGAGCUGAAUUUUAGAAGCCCAGAAUGGUUUCUGUAGCUCAAAGUUUGUGGGUGGAGAUAGGUGGUGAAGCAGACACAUAUUAACUGUGUGUACAAGCAGCUGAACUGCAAGGUAGACCUCAUAAAGCAACAAGUACAAGAAUGUGUGUGUGUGUGUGUGUGUGUGUGUGUGUCUCGUUAAUGACUGCAUCCUAAACAGCUGUGAGAUCAAAGGCAAAUCACUGACCUACUGUUUGAAUGAGAAGCAGCUGAACUGCAGAGGAUUUAGAGGCUCUAAACUUCUUCACAUAGCGUGAUUUCCUUAAGUCACAGAAUGAAAAUAAGAACAUCGUACGAAUCCUCCGCCCUUCAUGAACACAAUGAAGUAUUUUUCAUGUCUGUACUCCGACAGAUGUGGCCACAACAGCGAGUUAAAAAAGUCUGAGCCUGAGCGAUGAUCCGGAUUUUCUUGGAGAAAAUUAACAUUACGGUCAAUGGGAGAGAUUUCCGCCUUCUUUGGACAGUUGGUCACCUGCUGGCCAAGGGGUACGAUUUAAUGAUUUGAAACCUCUUUUGUGAGAAGCAGGACACAUAUACCUCCAUUUUGAUGUAUUAUUUGUGUCAGUGGAGUGAGAUUUGUGGGCGUGGGAGCGAUAUAUUCGAGCGAGGUUCUGUCGAUCAGAGACGAGGUCUGCACUCUAGCUGAUGACAUCAUCACUCUAAACUCUCCAAUACACACCCAUUAUAAAGCCUGAAAUUUGCUGAAAACCACAAGUUGCUUAAAGCUAAAUUGUGGAAAAACUGUAAGAGAUAUAAAAAAACUGAGUACAACUUUAAUAGUCGACAAGUGAAUGAACAUUUUAAAGCAAAAAUGAGGUCUCUAGGUGAAAGUAUGCUGAAGUUAUAAGGUCUAGAAGGUGGAAGAAUAAAAGGAAGAAUUGGAAGAUUUCCCCAUUGACUUCAAUGUUAAAAUUUUUGCACAAAAAGUUAAAAAAAACAAAAAGUAUAAAUGUUAGAAAAGUGAAAAGUAAUAGCAAACGUGUCCUGAAGGAGUGGAAUAGUUUAAAGUUUGAACGGUUGAAAUCGCACAAACUGGGAAGGAGUUGAAAGCGGACGAAAAACGGCGGAAGAAUAAUAAUAAUAAUAAUAAUAAUAAUAAAGAAACGGGAGAAUAACAAUAAGUGGAAAUGCCUAUCAGCAUUUCCACUUAAUAAUAAAGAAACGGGAGAAUAACAAUAAGUGGAAAUGCCUAUCAGCAUUUCCACUUAAUAAAGAAACGGGAGAAUAACAAUAAGUGGAAAUGCUUAAUCAGCAUUUCCACUUAACUAGAAAAAUUGCAUUUCCUUGCAGAAAAUGCGUGGAAAUGCUGAGUGCUGAAAGCUGAAAAAGCAAUGCUAAACUGCUAAUAAAACAUGGAGAAAGGUAUAAAUGUAAAAGCUGUUGAAGGGGGGAAAAAAUAUAUAAGUUAAAUAAUUGUAAAUAAGAGGUUGGAGAAUAAAUAGUACGAAUAUGCUCCUCAAAUUGAAAUUUGAUUCAUGCUGAAAGAGGCUGGAAAUUUUUUUACAAUUACACAAAGUUUGAAUGAAGAAGUAAAUUACCUUAAAAGGCAAGUACGUGAGAAGUGGCAUAAGUUUAAGUUGUAGUACUAGAAGUAGUAUGAUAAUAGGUAGUUGUAGUAGUGAUAUUAGUAGUCAUGUAAGCAGUAGAAGUAGUUUUAGAAUAGAAGAAGUAGAAGUCAAAGCAGUAGAGCUCGUGGUAGAAGUAAGAGUAGAAGUAAAAAAAUAUUAAGAGAAGCAAGAGCAGUGGAGGUAGAAGUGAAGAUACAAGUUAAGGUGACAUAAGUAGUAAUUGUAGUGGUAGAACUGGGAUUUUGCUUGAAGAAUCAAAACAUACAUAAAUAAUGAGAAUGAUUUUGAAGUGGGAAAAACUUUAAAUAAUUAGACGUCCUAAUGUGUUAAACAGGUUUGAAGUAUCCGAAAGGUUUGAAUCAGUUUGAAUGAGUUUGGAUUUGUCUGAAGCAUUUAAUAAUGCAUGAAUAAUGAGAAUAAUUUUAAAGUGGGAAAAAGUUAAAUGAAUAAAAAUCCUGAGUACACCCCAUAUUGUCCUCAAUGAGCUGAAUAUUUGGAAGCCCUGAAUGGUUUCUGUAGCUCAAAGUUUGUAGUCCUCGCUUUGUGGGUCUUUUCUCAUAGACCUCACAAGGCAGCAAGUACAAGAAUGUGUGUGUGUGUGUCUCUCCUUAAUGACUGCAUCCUAAACAGCUGUGAGAUCAAAGGCAUUAACUGACCAACUGUUUGACUGAGAAGCUCCUUAAGUGCAGUGAAUUUAUUGCCUCUGAACUUCUUCACAUAGCGUGAUUUCCUUAAGUCCAAGAAUGAAAAUAAGAACAUCGUACGAAUCCUCCGCCCUUCAUGAACACAAUGAUGUGUUUUUCAUGUCUGUACUCCAAGAAAUGUGGCCACAACAGCGAGUUAAAAAAGUCUGAGCCUGAGUGGCGAUAAGGAUUUUCUUGCAGAAAAAAUACAUUAGGGCUAAUGGGAGAGAUUUCCGCCUAUUUGAACAGUUGGUCACCUGCUGGCCAAGGGGUAGGAUUAAAUGAUUUGAAACCUCUUUUGUGAGAAGCAGGACACAUAUACCUCCAUUUUGAUGUAUUUUUUAUGUCUGUGGAGUGAGAUUUGUAGGCGUGGGAGCGAUAUAUUCGAGCGAGGUUCUGUCGAUCAGAGACGAGGUCUGCACUCUAGCUUUUCAAAUCCUCACUCUAAACUCUCCAAUACACACCCAUUAUAAAGCCUGAAAAUUUGCUGAAAACCACAAGUUGCUUAAAGCUAAAUUGUUGUGGAAGAACUGUAAAAGAUAUCAAAAAACUGACUACAACUGUAAUAGUCGACAAGACAAUGAACAUUUUAAAGCAAAAAUGAGGUCUCUAGGUGAAAGUAUGCAGAAGUUACAAGGUUCAGAAGGUGGAAGAAUAACAGGAAGAAUUGGAAGAUUUCCCCAUUGACUUCAAUGUUAAAAUUUUUGCAUAAAAAGUUAAAAAAAUCAAAAAGUAUAAAGGGUAGAAAAGUGAAAAGUAAUCGCCGUCAUGUCCUGAAGGAGAGGAAUAGUUUAAAGUUUGAACGGUUGAAAUCGCACAAAGUGGAGAAGAGUUAUAAAGUGCCAAAAAAUGGCGGAAGAAAAAUAAUAAUAAUAAUAAUAAUAAUAAAGAAACAGGAGAAUAACAAUAAGUGGAAAUGCCUAUCAGCAUUUCCACUUAACUA
This 13234-nucleotide long non-coding RNA is filed under the name Xyrichtys novacula (pearly razorfish). The record is from RNAcentral. Lineage: Eukaryota; Metazoa; Chordata; Actinopteri; Labriformes; Labridae.